UUAAGUAAGCAGAUUGUACACGCUUCUUAGUGUUUUAACACUAAGAAGCGUGUACAAUCUGCUUACUUAAA
Molecule: microRNA precursor, 71 nt
Filed under: Paramuricea clavata
Lineage: Eukaryota; Metazoa; Cnidaria; Anthozoa; Malacalcyonacea; Plexauridae
Source: RNAcentral